GAUGAACGCUGGCGGCGUGCCUAAUACAUGCAAGUCGAGCGAAUGGAUUAAGAGCUUGCUCUUAUGAAGUUAGCGGCGGACGGGUGAGUAACACGUGGGUAACCUGCCCAUAAGACUGGGGUAACUCCGGGAAACCGGGGCUAAUACCGGAUAACAUGUUGAACCGCAUGGUUCGAAAUUGAAAGGCGGCUUCGGCUGUCACUUAUGGAUGGACCCGCGUCGCAUUAGCUAGUUGGUGAGGUAACGGCUCACCAAGGCAACGAUGUGUAGCCGACCUGAGAGGGUGAUCGGCCACACUGGGACUGAGACACGGCCCAGACUCCUACGGGAGGCAACAGUAGGGAAUCUUCCGCAAUGGACGAAAGUCUGACGGAGCAACGCCGCGUGAGUGAUGAAGGCUUUCGGGUCGUAAAACUCUGUUGUUAGGGAAGAACAAGUGCUAGUUGAAUAAGCUGGCACCUUGACGGUACCUAACCAGAGAGCCACGGCUAACUACGUGCCAGCCGCCGCAGUAA
RNAcentral lists this ribosomal RNA (515 nucleotides) under uncultured bacterium. RNAcentral describes it as "partial 16S ribosomal RNA". It matches the Rfam family "Bacterial small subunit ribosomal RNA", at positions 28 to 523 of the family's 1533-position model. The record is from RNAcentral.